GGGUAGGCGCCGGUAGAACGGGUAUCAUUGAUGUUGAUAAACAUAGGACGAUUGGUCCUCUUACCUU
This 67-nucleotide transfer RNA is filed under the name Doriprismatica atromarginata. Its description in RNAcentral is "tRNA-Ile". The record is from RNAcentral. Lineage: Eukaryota; Metazoa; Mollusca; Gastropoda; Nudibranchia; Chromodorididae.